This is a long non-coding RNA of Uranotaenia lowii, 1089 nucleotides long. RefSeq lists it as uncharacterized. The record is from RefSeq and is a predicted model, not a curated record. Lineage: Eukaryota; Metazoa; Arthropoda; Insecta; Diptera; Culicidae. The transcript has 3 exons.
GUCGUACGCUACGGAAGGAAUUAUCGGCGCUCGCUCCCUUUGCUCGUUCGCUAGCAGUUUGUGAUUCUUGUUUUGUUUUACAGUGAACUGCAAAUACUUUCAAAGUGCAGAGCAGGAUGCAGUUCCUACAGAUAUUUCAUCUAAAAACGUCAUGAAUAUUUAUUCCAGUGCAAAGGAAAAGUACUCCUUCAAAUAGUGGGAUUGAUCAGUGAAAAGUGAUAGUGCUAAUCGUUUUUCGAAACAUGUAGAAGAGACCUUUUCUUCGCUGUGUUUUGAAAAAUAACCUCGCAUCUCAAAUUUAAGUAUAACAACAGCUUAAAUAACCACACACAUUCAAGUUGAAUACAUAAGGACAUCAACAACUGCAACAAAAAUCAAAGAAAACUCUCGUUGUUUUUUUUUUCAGUGUGUAAAUUGGCUUAAAUACGUGCUCCAGCACCAGUAGCAGCACAAGUGCACAAGUUAGUUAGCCCUCCUGAAGCAGGGCCUCAACUCCUCAACAACACGUUAUUGAAGACGACGGCGAUGUUGAUGCUGGUCGGUGUUUUCAAUGUGAAUUGUGGGUUGUGACAGUAGAGUGCAGUAGGAUUUAAUUUUUAUUUAUGGCGCACCAUUGGAUUGCAGUUCGUCCGUCAAAAUGUGUGGUGUGGAAAAAGAGAAAUAACUAAAAAAAAAACAGCACGCUUCUGGCCAGUUUUUACGAACUGCAUGUCGAGUGUGUUUUUUGUUUUUGAGUGUUCAACACUAGGUCUCAGUUCAACUUUACCUGAUUCCCGUCGACGUGAUGGUUCGAUAUGAUAAGAAGAUGUGCUGCUAGUGCUGAAUAAAUGUUGUUCUGUCUACUAGGGUGGUCUGAAAACCACAAACUUUAAGUGCAAUUUUUGUAUAGGAACAUUAUUUAUUUGUUUAUUUGAAAGAUCUCAAAGGAUGUUGAUUAAGUUUUAUUUUCAGCUUUAGUUUUAAUUCAGUUGAAAGUGCUGUUCACAUAGUAUAACAAUUGGGUGUGGAUGAGAAGAAAAAUUAAGUCAAACAGAAGAAACACUCGAUGGCACGAUUUGUUGGACAAACUCUACGCAUAAAAUAACUUUC